Cucurbita pepo subsp. pepo (vegetable marrow) is the source of this 574-nucleotide long non-coding RNA. RefSeq lists it as uncharacterized. The record is from RefSeq and is a predicted model, not a curated record. Lineage: Eukaryota; Viridiplantae; Streptophyta; Magnoliopsida; Cucurbitales; Cucurbitaceae.
CAUUUUUGGCUUCGCGCGUACCAUUUUCAUGUUGCUCUCUUCUCUUCUCCUCCACCGAUAGAGCUGGGCUGAAGAGCUGUGGCCGUUCAUUUGAGCAAUCAGGAAUCUCUGCACUUCCGUUCAAUUUUUUUUGUGUGUUUUUGGAGCAGCAAUUGAGCGAUCAACAUAUUCAUCUACGAUGCUUUAUUGUUUGGUUUCAUGAAUCAUUGGGAUGAGGAUCUGGAAGCCUGUAAAGAGGGGUUUUGAUGAGUUUUUCACGAAUGGAGCUCAUUGUUUUAUGACCAGCGCUGGGUAAGUUCCCUUUGGACCCUCGUAUUUUUCCCCAGUCUGAUGUGCAAUUUCUUUUGGGACCACAAUGAAAUGAUUACAUAGCUACUCCACUUGAGUUUAGAUCAUAUAUCACUUGUGGCCAAAAAGCUGAUUGGAUCCACAUUAUCAAUGCCUGUUGCUUUCAAGACUUGCAAAUGGCGAGCAUGUAAAAUGAAUAGACUAGAUACUGUAAAGAACCAGUGCAAGAUGUCACAUUCACAUCGGUAGUCUAUUGUUUCUCUCCAUUUUAGAUAUCUUUAUCAUC